Molecule: small RNA, 1870 nt
Filed under: Pan troglodytes (chimpanzee)
Lineage: Eukaryota; Metazoa; Chordata; Mammalia; Primates; Hominidae
Description: retained intron
Rfam family: Metazoan signal recognition particle RNA (bases 1586-1702)
Source: RNAcentral
GCACCUCCGGGCAACACCUAAUACUCGGGGCUCCGCUCGGCUUCUUCGCGCCGAGAUGCCUAAGAAGGCUGGUGCGACGACCAAGGCCAGUAGCAGGUCCCGUGGCGGCAGAGGGGUGGGCCUCAGGGGUACUUGUUGAAGAGCGCGGGAGAAGCGGGGCCCGGGAGUGAGUGGAGGCACUGCCAGCGGCUUGCCGUCUCUCAGUUCCGGGGCUCAGGACAGCCGCCGCCACCCCCAGAGCUGCGGCUCCUGCUGCCGUCGCCCCGCCUCAGUAGGCUGCGCUGCCGUCCACCCGGUGACUUCUGAGCGCUGGGCCCGGCGGCAGCCGAGCUCUCCUUGGGCUGCGUGUGCUGACCUUUGGCCUCCUACCCGCACUCCCAGUCCAGCAAUUCAUGUUCCCGCAGCGGCAUGACCUGCGCUUCCCCAGGAGGCUGUAUUCUGCUUUCUCCUCCCUUGCUUUGGCUGAUCGCACCCCUUCUGUCAAGAAUACAGCACUCCCAUUUCCACCAUCUUUGUUUGGCCAACCCCAGUCCGUUUCUCAGACUCAGCUCAAGCACUGCCUCCUGCUGGCAGCAUUCUCCAGUGCCCCAAUGCUGAUUUGCCUGUGGGGUAAUGUUCUGUGCCUAUCUCAUCGGUGCACUUAGCACAGUGUAUUAUAAUUUUGUAUGUUCUUUCUCCCUCGCAGCAGUCCGAGCUCCUUGAGAGCAAGGACCAUGUACCUUUUCAUCUUUACAUAUCCAUUGCCUACAUAUUUGUUGAACCAAAGUUCCUAGCACAGCCCCUGUCCCAUAACAGGCCUUUAAAUAUCAAGCACUAUUGUUUUUUCCUCCCUUUCCCGCAACAUGCAGACAUACACACUUUCACCAACAUUUAUUAGCUCCGACUGCAUGAGAUACAAUGAUGAAUAAUAAAUAAUCCCUGCCCCCAAGGAAUUGGAAAUACAAAGCAGAGGGAGGAACAAGCAUUAAGGUUUAGAAGCCAGAGUUAGGUUUUCUUGCAAGGGAGGAAAAAACAUUGUUGGGUUGAUGGGAACCCUUCGUGGGAAAAUUGAGUAGAGCCUUGAAGGUUGUGGGAAAAGCGUUCUAGGUGGCCAGAAGUCCCUGGACACCACUGAUGAGCCUAGUUUGUCUGUUAAGGGUGAAAGGGGGUAGUGGAAGAAUCAAAUUAAAUGUGUGGGAAAAUAUUUUGUAACCUGUAAAGUUGUGUGGUUGUCAUUUUAGGGUAAAAGCCAGAGCAAGGAACCAGAGAGACCACUUCCUCCCUUAGGUCCUGUGGCAGUUGAUCCUAAAGGAUGCGUCACCAUAGCCAUCCAUGCAAAACCUGGCUCCAAACAAAAUGCUGUAACAGAUUUGACAGCAGAGGCUGUAAAUGUAGCUAUUGCAGCACCUCCAUCAGAGGGAGAGGCUAAUGCUGAGCUCUGUCGGUAUCUUUCCAAGGUCCUAGAACUCAGGAAGAGUGAUGUGGUUUUGGAUAAGGGUGGUAAAUCUCGUGAAAAGGUGGUGAAGCUUUUGGCUUCUACAACUCCAGAAGAGAUCUUGGAGAAAUUAAAAAAGGAAGCCAAAAAAACAUAAAAGCAAGAAAUGAGGCCGGGCGCAGUGGCUCAUGCCUGUAAUCCCAGCACUUUGGGAGGCCGAGGUGGGCGGAUCACCUGAGGUCAGGAGUUCGAGACCAGCCUGACCAACAUGGUGAAACCCCAUCUCUACGAAAAAUACAAAAUUAGCCGGAUGUGAUGGCGCAUGCCUGUAAUCCCAGUUACUCAGGAGGCUGAGGCAGGAGAAUCACUUGAACCUGGGGGGCGGAGGUUGCAGUAAGCCGAGAUCGCGCCGUUGCGCUCCAGCCUGGGCAACAAGAGUGAAACUCUCUCCCCCCG